Molecule: RNA transcript, 8694 nt
Organism: Bombus pyrosoma
Lineage: Eukaryota; Metazoa; Arthropoda; Insecta; Hymenoptera; Apidae
Gene: zip
Gene name: myosin heavy chain, non-muscle
Exons: 15
Source: RefSeq, a predicted model, not a curated record
AUGGUAAGGAGAAAAGAAGAUGGCCGCGAGGAGCGAGAAAGAAAAUAAUCUCGAAGAGCGUUAAAGGUGGUAGAAGAACACGGUGCCUCGAAGGAGAACGAACUACGAAUCGUCCAAAACUCUCCAACUUCAGAUUAUCUUAACCACCACUAGACAAUAGACACUCGAAAAGUACGGGAAAACGAGUGUUGAAUAGUUACAUGUGUGUCCUUGUUACGAAGAGGUCAGUCUGUCGAGGAUCGUCCUUGGAAUCGCUCGUCCCUGAAGCCGGCUCGAGGAGCUAGUGAUCUCGAAAACAAAAAUGGCGGACGUCGACUCGAGGGUGGAUCAUUCGGAUCCCGAAUUGCGGUUCCUUUCCGUUGACAGGAAUAAUUUCAAUGAUCCUGCAACUCAGGCGGAAUGGACGCAGAAAAAGUUGGUUUGGGUGCCUCACGAAACUCAGGGUUUCGUUGCAGCCGGGAUAAAGGGUGAACGGGGUGACGAGGUCGAAGUGGAGAUUGCCGAAACUGGAAAACGGGUCCUUGUCGCGAAAGAUGAUAUUCAGAAGAUGAAUCCACCGAAAUUUGAUAAAGUUGAAGACAUGGCUGAAUUAACGUGCUUAAAUGAAGCUUCGGUACUGCAUAACCUCAAAGACAGAUACUACUCCGGCCUCAUUUACACAUACUCAGGACUAUUCUGCGUGGUGGUAAAUCCAUACAAGAGGCUGCCAAUUUACACGGAAAAGAUAAUGGAGAGGUAUAAGGGUAUCAAGAGACACGAGGUCCCACCUCAUGUUUUUGCUAUUACGGACACUGCAUAUCGUUCUAUGCUUCAAGAUCGCGAAGACCAGUCCAUUCUAUGCACCGGUGAAUCCGGCGCUGGUAAAACUGAGAACACGAAAAAAGUAAUUCAAUACCUGGCAUACGUCGCUGCCUCGAAACCGAAAUCAAAUGCGACACCAAGUCCGGCAUUAAUCAUAGGUGAAUUGGAACAGCAACUCUUACAAGCGAAUCCAAUUUUAGAAGCUUUUGGGAAUGCUAAAACAGUGAAAAAUGACAACUCAUCCCGAUUUGGUAAAUUUAUUCGAAUAAACUUCGAUGCCUCGGGUUAUAUUGCCGGCGCAAACAUAGAGACUUAUCUUCUGGAAAAGUCAAGAGCAAUUCGACAAGCGAAAGAUGAGAGAACCUUCCACAUAUUUUAUCAACUUCUAGCGGGUGCCUCCGCUGAUCAAAAAAAGGAAUUUAUCUUGGAGGAUCCGAAACACUAUCCAUUCCUUUCCAAUGGUGCAUUACCAGUUCCAGGAGUGGACGAUUCAGCUGAGUUCUUCUCAACUGUGAAGUCCAUGCAUAUCAUGGGCAUGACAAAUGAAGAUUUUUCUUCCAUCUUUCGUAUCGUGUCUGCGGUAAUGCUAUUUGGUUCUAUGCAGUUCCGUCAAGAAAGGAACUCGGAUCAAGCCACGUUACCGGACAAUACUGUUGCUCAAAAAAUUUCUCAUUUACUCGGUUUGAGCGUAACAGAAAUGACAAAAGCGUUUUUAAAACCAAGAAUUAAAGUGGGUAGAGACUUCGUAACGAAAGCACAAACAAAAGAGCAAGUUGAAUUUGCCGUAGAAGCAAUUUCAAAAGCUUGCUAUGAGAGAAUGUUUAGGUGGCUUGUAAACCGAAUCAAUCGAUCAUUGGAUCGGACAAAAAGACAAGGAGCAAGUUUUAUCGGUAUCUUAGAUAUGGCUGGUUUUGAAAUAUUCGAGUUGAACAGUUUCGAACAGUUAUGCAUUAAUUAUACUAACGAGAAGUUACAACAAUUAUUCAACCAUACCAUGUUCAUUUUGGAACAAGAAGAAUAUCAAAGGGAAGGAAUUGAAUGGAAAUUUAUUGAUUUUGGAUUAGAUUUGCAACCAACUAUUGAUUUGAUUGACAAACCGAUGGGCAUCAUGGCUUUACUGGAUGAAGAAUGUUGGUUCCCUAAAGCAACGGAUAAAACAUUUGUUGAAAAAUUAGUAGGUGCACAUAGUGUACAUCCAAAAUUCAUGAAAACAGACUUCAGAGGUGUGGCAGAUUUUGCUAUCAUACAUUAUGCUGGAAAAGUUGAUUAUUCAGCUGCCAAAUGGUUGAUGAAAAAUAUGGAUCCUUUGAAUGAAAAUGUUGUUAGCCUUUUACAAAAUUCACAAGAUCCUUUCGUUUGUCAUAUUUGGAAAGACGCAGAAAUUGUUGGAAUGGCUCAACAAGCAUUAACUGAUACACAAUUUGGUGCAAGAACAAGGAAAGGCAUGUUCAGAACAGUUUCUCAAUUGUACAAGGAACAAUUAGCAAAAUUAAUGGUUACUUUAAGAAACACAAAUCCUAAUUUUGUAAGAUGCAUCAUACCAAAUCAUGAAAAGAAGGCUGGAAAAAUUGAUGCACCAUUGGUACUAGAUCAAUUGAGAUGUAAUGGAGUUUUAGAAGGAAUUCGAAUUUGCCGACAAGGAUUUCCAAAUAGAAUACCAUUCCAAGAAUUCAGACAAAGAUACGAACUUCUAACACCAAAUGCUAUUCCUAAAGGGUUUAUGGAUGGAAAGAAAGCUUGUGAGAAAAUGAUUCAAGCUCUUGAACUUGACCCUAAUCUUUAUCGCGUUGGUCAAUCAAAAAUUUUCUUCCGUGCUGGAGUUUUAGCUCAUCUUGAAGAAGAACGUGAUUAUAAAAUUACUGACAUAAUUGUUAAUUUCCAAGCAUUCUGUCGUGGUUUUCUUGCUCGCAGAAAUUAUCAGAAACGUUUGCAACAGUUAAAUGCUAUUAGAAUUAUUCAAAGAAAUUGUGCUGCUUACUUAAAACUUAGAAAUUGGCAAUGGUGGCGUUUGUAUACGAAGGUGAAACCACUUCUGGAAGUGACAAAACAAGAGGAAAAAUUGACUCAAAAAGAAGAUGAAUUGAAACAAGUACGGGACAAGUUAGAGAUGCAAUUACAUUCUGCACAAGAAUAUGAACGAAAAUAUCAACAAGCUAUGGAAGAAAAAACUAUGUUAGCAGAACAAUUACAAGCUGAAGUCGAAUUAUGUGCAGAAGCAGAAGAAAUGCGAGCGAGAUUAGCCGCCAGAAAGCAGGAACUAGAAGAGAUUCUUCAUGAUUUGGAAACAAGAAUUGAAGAGGAAGAAGAAAGAAGUGCUGGAUUAACUCAAGAAAAAAAGAAAUUGCAAUUAAAUAUAAGUGAUCUUGAAGAGCAGUUAGAGGAGGAGGAAGCUGCUAGACAGAAAUUACAGUUAGAGAAAGUACAAUGUGAUGCAAAAAUCAAAAAACUUGAGGAAGACCUUGCACUUUCUGAGGAUACAAAUCAAAAAUUAUUGAAGGAGAAAAAGAUCCUCGAAGAAAGAGCAAAUGAUUUAUCUCAGACACUCGCUGAGGAAGAAGAAAAAGCGAAACACUUAUCCAAAUUAAAAGCAAAACAUGAAGCAACGAUUGCAGAUCUUGAAGAAAGGUUAUUGAAAGAUCAUCAACAAAGACAGGAAGUAGAUAGAUCAAAACGGAAAAUAGAAACUGAAGUAUCAGAUUUGAAGGAACAACUUGCAGAAAGGAAGACACAGGUAGAAGAACUUCAACUGCAACUUGGUAAACGUGAGGAAGAAUUAAAUCAAGUAAUGGCAAAAAUGGAUGAAGAAGGAGCAGCUAAAGCUCAAGCUCAAAAAGCACUUCGUGAAUUAGAGUCUCAAUUGGCCGAACUUCAAGAAGAUUUAGAAGCUGAAAAGGCUGCUAGGGGAAAAGCAGAAAAACUAAAACGAGACUUAAACGAGGAAUUAGAAGCAUUGAAAAAUGAAUUAUUAGAUUCUUUAGAUACAACUGCUGCGCAGCAAGAAUUAAGAAGCAAACGAGAACAGGAAUUAGCAACAUUAAAGAAGAAUUUAGAAGAAGAAACAUCAAUACACGAAGCAACAUUGGCGGAUAUGCGUCAUAAGCACACGCAGGAAUUGACUGCUUUGAACGAACAAAUGGAUGCAUUGAAGAAAACUAAAGCUGUUUUAGAAAAAGCAAAGGGAACGUUGGAGGCUGAAAAUGCUGAUUUAGCUACAGAACUUAGGUCUGUUGGUGCGAGCAGGCAAGAAUCAGAUAGAAGAAGAAAACAGGCUGAACAACAACUUGCUGAAGUAAAUGCAAAACUUGCAGAAGUAGAAAGAAACAGGCAGGAACUGAUAGAAAGAGUAACAAAAUUACAACAAGAAUCUGAAAGUAUUAUGCAACAAUUAGAGGCAGCAGAGUUGAAAGCUUCUGCAGCCUUGAAAGCUUCAGCAACUUGCGAAUCUCAAUUUACAGAACUUCAGCAACAACUUGAAGAGGAAACAAGACAAAAAUUAGCUUUAAGUUCAAAAUUGAGAGCGUUAGAAAGUGAAAAAGAAAGUCUGCAUGAUCAAUUAGAAGAAGAAGAGGAGGCAAAGAGAUGCUUAGAUAAACAGGUUAUGGGCUUAACUGUACAAUUGGCUGAAGCAAAGAAAAGAGUUGAGGAAGAAACUGAAGCUGCUACAGCAUUGGAAGAAGCAAGAAAGCGGUGCAUGAAAGACAUUGAAGCACUUCAAAGACAAGUUGAAGAACUACAAGCUGCUAAUGAUAAAUUAGACAAAUCAAAGAAAAAGAUUCAAGCAGAAUUAGAAGAUAGUAUCAUUGAGCUCGAAGCGCAAAGAGCAAAGGUGCUGGAAUUGGAGAAGAAACAGAAAAAUUUCGAUAAGGUGCUGGCUGAAGAAAAAGCGGUCUCUGAACAGUAUGCAGAGCAACGUGAUGCUGCCGAACGUGAGGCUCGUGAAAAAGAAACUCGUGUCUUAUCCUUAACUCGAGAACUCGACGAAAUGAAUGAGAAAGUUGAAGAACUCGAACGAAUUCGUCGAGGUCUCCAAUCAGAAUUGGACGAACUCGUAAACAAUCAAGGAACAGCAGACAAAAAUGUGCAUGAAUUAGAAAAAGCAAAACGUGCUCUUGAGUCACAAUUGGCGGAGCAACGUUCUCAAGUAGAAGAGCUCGAGGAUGAGUUACAAUUUACGGAAGAUGCAAAGUUGCGUCUAGAAGUAAAUAUGCAAGCUCUAAGAGCCCAAUUCGAGCGAGACUUGCAAGCUAAAGAAGAACAAGCUGAGGAGAAACGAAGAGGAUUGGUGAAACAAUUGCGCGAUCUUGAAGCGGAAUUAGAGGAUGAAAGAAAACAAAGAGCUGCCGCUAUUGCACAACGUAAAAAAAUGGAAGCAGACUAUAAAGAUAUUGAACAGCAAUUGGAAAUGCACAAUAAGGUAAAAGAAGAUGCCUUGAAACAAUUGAAGAAACUUCAAGCCCAAAUAAAAGAUUGCACUAGAGAAACUGAGGAAGCUAGAGCUGCUAGAGAUGAACUUGCAGCAAGUGCUAAAGAAACUGAGAGAAAGGUAAAGAGUUUAGAAGCAGACUUGAUGCAAUUAACUGAAGAUUAUGCCAGCAGUGAACGAGCUAGAAGAGCUGCUGAGAACGAAAGAGACGAAUUACAGGAAGAACUCAAUAAUAAUGCUAAUAAGGGUACAUUAAUGUUGGAUGAAAAACGUAGAUUGGAAGCUAGAAUAGCAACAUUGGAAGAAGAGUUAGAAGAAGAACAAUCAAAUGGUGAACUGCUAAUGGAUAGAGCUAGAAAAGCGCAAAUAACUAUCGAACAACUAACAAAUGAUUUAACGACUGAGAGAUCAACUACACAGAAAUUGGAAUCGCACAAAUUGUUAUUGGAAAGGCAAAAUAAGGAGUUGAAGGCGAAACUUACAGAAUUAGAAACUGCUCAAAGAGCAAAGACCAAAGCUACCAUUCAACAAUUAGAGUCAAAGAUUAAUAAUCUUGAUGAACAAUUAGAAACUGAAGCAAAAGAAAGAUUUGCACAGCAGAAGAUUAAUAGAAAAUUGGAGAAAAAGCUAAAGGAAUUAAGUUUACAGUUAGAAGACGAAAGGAGAAAUUCAGAUCAAUACAAAGAACAAGCAGAAAAAGUAAAUGCUAGAAUGAAAGCUUUGAAGAGACAGCUUGAUGAAGCUGAAGAAGAAAUUAGCAGGCAUAAAGCAAUGAAAAGGAAAGCGCAAAGAGAAAUGGAUGAUAUGCUUGAAUCUCAAGAAGAGCUAACCAGGGAGGUUGCAAAUCUUAAAAAUAAAUUAAGGCGUCGAGGGAAAAAGAAUAGUUCAUACCCCACGUGAAAAAAGCGGAAUUUCUUCAAGUCUCAAGCAUUCCUCGAGUCUUGACGAGGUGGUCCUCCAAUAAGCCUUAGUUCGACGCGUCUGAAACGCGGCUCUGUUCAAACCGGUGGAUCCGGCGACGAUUCGACGACACAGGAUGAAAGCAUCGAUGGAAACUCAUAAAAAUAUCCAGGUCCAAGAAGUGUGUGCAAGAUCCGUUUCGAUCAAAGCUAAGUUCGAAUCGGAGAGCUCCUUUGUAUGAGUUCAGAAGUCGAUUCCAGUGCACCCAACGAUGCCAUUACACGAGGGCGGCGGCUUUCUUCUGUACAUAAGAAACCCGACAGGGCCGUAUUAAGUAGUAUUUUAUCUCCGUUUCUUCCGGAACUCCACAGAAAAUGACGAAUUUUCUCUGGUCAACUUGAUAUGAUUAUAUCUUAUAUAUUUUAUAACAAGCUUAUUAACGGUUUUCAAUGUUAAUAAGCAAACAGUAAAAGAAGGUUGUACAAGUAAAUUUAAUCGAACUUUUUUUUCGAUAAAUUCAAUGUGCAAGAUAUACGCUUACGAAAUAUGUAUAUUAAUGCUAUAAUGCAUUAACAGUACUUGAAUGCCAUACACACUUCAUAUUUGACAUUCUUUCAAUUAUAUCUUACAAUGAAGAUGUUCGUCAUUUUUUUUGGAAAAUGCUACCACAUAGUCGGGUAAGAUUCAGACUAGAAAUAUAUUAUUGGGGCUGCAUAAUCGAUAAUGAAUUAACACCGCAUUUAGGCAGCAUUAAUAUCUAUUAUAAUUAUAUUAUAGUUAUUAUUAUUAUUAUUAAUUAUUAUAUUGCCGCAGUUUUUAUUUUUAUCGCGAAAAAUAUCGUAAUAUGUUACUUGUAAUUAUUUUUAAUAAUCAAGCCAAUGACGGACGAUUCUAGCAUCGUUCCGAAAGAUGUGAGAUUAAUAGAAUUUUCGAAAGGCUGAAACUUACUUUUUGUUAAUCAAAGUGUUUAAAGAAACUAUUUUUUAAAUAAUAUACUAACAGCAUCGAAUCAAACGAAUAAAAAGUAAAUUUGAAACUUCUGAAGAAAAAUUGCUUUUAUGUUUCACAGAAGUUUAAGGACGGUUCUAAAGAAAAUUAAAAUAGAUUGAAACGAUCGAAAGCUAAAGAACGUCUAAGGAAACUUGCUUUUUUAUGUCUAAAUACUUUGCAAAGAAAAAGAUAUCUUAUUCGGAUAUCAAAUUUCAAAGCGAAGAAAAGUAGUAUUAUUAUUUUUAAGAAAAAUUUUAUUCUUUAUGUUUCGGUCGAAUGUGUUAAUAAUUGCUCUUCUUGAUUUCUUUCAAAUAAUCAUUGUAUAGUCAAUUUUUUUGUUUCCAACUCGUCUGACGGAACGAACUAGAAAUCGACGAUCGAGAGUUAUCAAUUGGUACUUAGGGUCGAUCGAAGAUCGAGAACUUUUUCGUUUCGCAUUAUUCAAUUUUAAAUGCAUCGAAAAGUCGAUGUAUGUUUUCAUAUCAUUGUUUUACCAUCUGCAUGAACUUAUAAAUAUCAUACUAAUAAACGUCAAUUUUUUACAGCUAUAUAUACAUAUUAAACUUUUUCAAACAGUUUCGAAGAACUACUUUACUUCUACCAGUGAUGUUUUUAGGUAGAAAAGCAAUGUUCUGAUGAAUUUCUUUAUGCAUUUAAAAUUGAAUCGUCGAAAAUCAUAAAACAAAAUUUAAAAAAGGAAGAAGAGAAAGCCAGCAAUGUUUUUAUAUAUGCAUUUUUUACGACAUGUGCAUUUCUCAUGCAUUAGAAAAAACGCAUUUUUAACCUCCUUUUGUAAAGAUAUAAACAAAGAAAAGAAUUUAAAGCAGGCAAACGACUUUAUACGUACUUGCGAUGUGCUUUUUCCUGUUACCUUGAGAUAUUCAUUAUUUGAUUACACAGAUAACUAUUCUUAAAGGUAUUUACAACCCGGAAUGAAAGAUAAAAGGAGGUUAAUGAGCGAUCAUAUGUAUUACACAUACAUAUGUAUACGUAUACAGAGUAUCGUAAAGUAUGGGGUAUUUGGUAAACAAGUCUUAUACCGAAAAAAUUAUUAUAAAAAAAUUGAAUGAUACUACUUGAUCAAUUUAUUUUCUACGGAUUUACUUCAUUCUCCAAUUAAAUAUAAAAAAAGCUUAAUAGAUAUGUAUUUUUUGCGAUAAAAGUACAUAAUAUAUAACGUAUACUAUCAAUUUCGAUAUUGAAAACAACUAGAUUACUUCGUAACCGAUGCUGGAGGAAAAACAAAAUAUACUUUGUACAAAAAUAUUAUUUCCUAAGUGCAACAUACUUUAUUGCAUACUUUAUAUAUAUGUCCGGAAUAUUCUAUUUUUUGAUAUGGCAAAGUGAUUGGUGUCUGGACGAAACCGGCCUGUUUUUUACAUUAAACAACUUUCUAGUGAUUUUUUAGGCGGGCUUUUCAAAUUCGCAAUUGAACUGCCACUUCACACCAUCGUGGACUAUUUUCUCCACAUAACGAUGAUGAAUUAAAUUUGAAAAUCUUUUGAUUAAAUUAAUAAACUUAUACACAUUUUCGACGAAUUUACUUAAUAAGAAAUAAAUUAUAAUUUCAUACGUAAAAA